AGGUUGUUAGCUCAGUUGGUAGAGCAGGAGACUUUUAAUCUCAAGGUCAAGAGUUCGAUUCUCUUACAACCUACCA
Molecule: transfer RNA, 76 nt
Filed under: Atopobium sp.
Lineage: Bacteria; Bacillati; Actinomycetota; Coriobacteriia; Coriobacteriales; Atopobiaceae
Description: tRNA-Lys
Rfam family: tRNA
About the family: Transfer RNA (tRNA) molecules are approximately 80 nucleotides in length. Their secondary structure includes four short double-helical elements and three loops (D, anti-codon, and T loops).
Source: RNAcentral